GAUCGGCCACAUUGGAACUGAGACACGGUCCAAACUCCUACGGGAGGCAGCAGUGGGGAAUAUUGCACAAUGGGCGAAAGCCUGAUGCAGCAACGCCGCGUGAGUGAUGAAGGCCUUCGGGUCGUAAAACUCUGUCCUCAAGGCAGAUAAUGACGGUACUUGAGGAGGAAGCCCCGGCUAACUACGUGCCAGCAGCCGCGGUAAUACGUAGGGGGCUAGCGUUAUCCGG
Molecule: ribosomal RNA, 229 nt
Filed under: Clostridioides difficile
Lineage: Bacteria; Bacillati; Bacillota; Clostridia; Peptostreptococcales; Peptostreptococcaceae
Description: partial 16S ribosomal RNA
Rfam family: Bacterial small subunit ribosomal RNA
Source: RNAcentral